AUGUGGCUCGCCAGCGGCAACAAUCAGAUCAUGUCGGGUUUCAUGGUAUCCCCCGAGCAGUACAACGACACCGAUCUCCAUUUCUUCGUGUCAUGGACGGCCGAUGGGUUCAACGCCACGGGCUGCAUGGACACGGACUGCCAGGGCUUCGUGGGCUCCACGCCGCCGGCCAGCGUCUCCCCCGGGUCGACGGUCACGCCGACGUCCGUCUACCACGGCAAACAGACCGAGUACACCGUCACCAUCCUCCAGGUGGCUGGGAACUGGUCCCUCAUCGUGGACCUGUCGGGGGAGAACGAGACGGUCGGGUACUUGCCCGGCUCGCUGUUCACGGGCCUGGCGAGCAACGCGACGGUGGUCGGCUGGGGAGGCAACGCGCAGUCGUCGUCCGGCGCCGGGCCGCCGAUGGGGAGCGGACACGGGCCGGACGAGGGGGACGGCGUCGCGGCCUACGUGGCCAGCAUCGCGGUGUACGAUUCCAAGGGGAACGCCACCGCCCCGGCGGCCGGGAACGUGACGUCGCUCACGGACGCCGGAGACUGCUACGGUGCCAGCGAUUACGAGGUCGGAAAGGACGACGGCGGGUUCUUCUAUUACGGGGGGCCUCAAGGUUGCAACCACUAA
RNAcentral lists this ribosomal RNA (624 nucleotides) under Triticum aestivum (bread wheat). RNAcentral describes it as "partial small subunit ribosomal RNA". Lineage: Eukaryota; Viridiplantae; Streptophyta; Magnoliopsida; Poales; Poaceae. The record is from RNAcentral.